AGAGUUUGAUCCUGGCUCAGGAUCAACGCUGGCGGUGUGCCUUAUGCAUGCAAGUCGAACGGUCCUUCUCUUCGGAGAAGGAUAGUGGCGAACGGGUGAGUAACACGUAAGUAACCUGCCCUUAAGUAGGGGAUAACUCUGAGAAAUUGGAGCUAAUACCGUAUGUGGUGGUGAAGGUAAUGCUUUAUCACUAAAGCCUUAGGGCGCUUAGGGAGGGGCUUGUGGCCGAUUAGCUAGUUGGUAGGGUAACGGCUUACCUAGGCGAAGAUCGGUAGCUGGUCUGAGAGGAUGGUCAGCCACACUGGGACUGAGAUACGGCCCAGACUCCUACGGGAGGCAGCAGCAAGGAAUUUUGUGCAAUGGGCGAAAGCCUGACACAGCGACACCGCGUGGGGGAUGAAGGCCCUUGGGUUGUAAACCCCUUUUCCCAGGGAAGAAUAAUGACGGUACCUGGGGAAUAAGUCUCGGCUAACUACGUGCCAGCAGCCGCGGUAAUACGUAGGAGGCUAGCGUUAUCCGGAUUUACUGGGCGUAAAGCGGGUGUAGGCGGUUCUUCAAGUCGGAUGUAAAAUCUCCUAGCUUAACUAGGAGGGAUCAUUCGAUACUGUUGAGCUAGAGGGCAGCAGAGGGAGGUGGAAUUCCCGGUGUAGUGGUGAAAUGCGUAGAUAUCGGGAGGAACACCAGUGGCGAAGGCGGCCUCCUGGGCUGUGCCUGACGCUGAGGCCCAAAGGCGUGGGGAGCGAACAGGAUCAGAUACCCUGGUAGUCCACGCAGUAAACGAUGGACACUAGGUAUAGGGAGUAUCGACCCUCUCUGUGCCGAAGCUAACGCUUUAAGUGUCCCGCCUGGGGAGUACGGCCGCAAGGCUAAAACUCAAAGGAAUUGACGGGGGCCCGCACAGCAGCGGAGCGUGUGGUUUAAUUCGAUGCAACGCGAAGAACCUUACCAGACUUGACAUGUCGAAGUAGCGACCCGAAAGGUGGAGCCACCUGUGAGUCAGAACGUCACAGGUGCUGCAUGCUGUCGUCAGCUCGUGCGUGAGGGUGUAGUAAGUCUGUACGAGCGCCAAACCCUCGUUGCAGGUUAUUUCCUCUGCAGAACUGCCCUGCAAAACAUGGAGAGGUGGGAUGACGUCUCAAUCACAGGCUUAUGUCUGGCUAACACACGCUUACAGAUUGGGGUA
Molecule: ribosomal RNA, 1183 nt
Filed under: uncultured bacterium
Lineage: Bacteria
Description: bacterial SSU rRNA
Rfam family: Bacterial small subunit ribosomal RNA
Source: RNAcentral